AUUAGAGAGUUUGAUCCUGGCUCAGGAUGAACGCUGGCGGCGUGCCUAACACAUUCAAGUCGAACGGAGUUAAUUUGGAAGCUUGCUUUCGGAUUAACUUAGUGGCGGACGGGUGAGUAAUGCAUGAGCAACCUGCCUUAAAGAGGGGGAUAACACGGUGAAAACCGUGCUAAUACCGCAUGUUUUAUGUUGAGGGCAUCCUCGAUAUAAUAAAGGAGCAAUCCGCUUUAAGAUGGGCUCAUGUCUGAUUAGAUAGUUGGUGAGGUAACGGCUCACCAAGUCUACGAUCAGUAGCCGGACUGAGAGGUUGAACGGCCACAUUGGAACUGAGAUACGGUCCAGACUCCUACGGGAGGCAGCAGUGGGGAAUAUUGGGCAAUGGGCGAAAGCCUGACCCAGCAACGCCGCGUGAAGGAAGAAGGUCUUCGGAUUGUAAACUUCUUUUAUAAGGGAAGAACUAUGACUGUACCUUAUGAAUAAGCCACGGCUAACUACGUGCCAGCAGCCGCGGUAAUACGUAGGUGGCAAGCGUUAUCCGGAUUUACUGGGUGUAAAGGGUGAGUAGGCGGGUAGACAAGUCAGAUGUGAAAUGCAGGAGCUCAACUCCUGAACUGCAUUUGAAACUGUAUAUCUUGAGUGUCGGAGAGGUAAUUGGAAUUCCCAGUGUAGCGGUGAAAUGCGUAGAGAUUGGGAGGAACACCAGUGGCGAAGGCGGAUUACUGGACGACAACUGACGCUGAGGCACGAAAGUGUGGGGAGCAAACAGGAUUAGAUACCCUGGUAGUCCACACCGUAAACGAUGAAUACUAGGUGUAGGCGAGAAAUCGUCUGUGCCGCAGUUAACACAAUAAGUAUUCCACCUGGGGAGUACGGCCGCAAGGUUGAAACUCAAAGGAAUUGACGGGAGCCCGCACAAGCAGUGGAGUAUGUGGAUUAAUUCGACGCAACGCGAA
RNAcentral lists this ribosomal RNA (953 nucleotides) under Oscillospiraceae bacterium. RNAcentral describes it as "bacterial SSU rRNA". It matches the Rfam family "Bacterial small subunit ribosomal RNA", at positions 1 to 965 of the family's 1533-position model. Lineage: Bacteria; Bacillati; Bacillota; Clostridia; Eubacteriales; Oscillospiraceae. The record is from RNAcentral.